This 827-nucleotide ribosomal RNA is filed under the name Pristionchus sp. JU67. RNAcentral's name for it is "SSU rRNA". It matches the Rfam family "Eukaryotic small subunit ribosomal RNA", at positions 85 to 939 of the family's 1831-position model. The record is from RNAcentral. RNAcentral also lists the same sequence under 1 other name. Lineage: Eukaryota; Metazoa; Nematoda; Chromadorea; Rhabditida; Neodiplogasteridae.
AUCUGCGAACGGCUCAUUAUUAACACCCGUAAUCUACCCAGUUUUCGUAUCCAAAACGGAUAUCUGCGUUAAUUUUGGAGCUAAUACGUGCACCAAAGCACCGCCAGCAAUGGUAGUGCGCACAUAUUAGAUCAAGACCUAUUGGGGCAACCCACUUGAUGACUCUGAAUAUUUUUGCGGAUCGCAUGGUCUUGUACCGGCGACGUACUGGUCGAGCGGGUGCCCUAUCAACUAUUGAUGGAAGUCUAUGUGUCUUCCAUGGUUGUAACGGGUAACGGAGAAUAAGGGUUCGACUCCGGAGAGCUAGCCUUAGAAACGGCUAUCACAUCCAAGGAAGGCAGCAGGCGCGUAAAUUACCCACUCUCAAUUCGAGGAGGUAGUGACUAUCAAUAACGAGACAGAUCUCUUUGAGGUCUGUCAUUGAAAUGAGCACAACUUAAAGACUUUAACGAAGUCUAUGGGAGGGCAAGUCUGGUGCCAGCAGCCGCGGUAAUUCCAGCUCCCAACGUGUAUAUCGUCAUUGCUGCGGUUAAAAAGCUCGUAGUUGGAUCUAAGUUCAUGACUGUAGUUCUCCAUGUGAGAUACUGCUAGUCUGGACUGUUUCGCCGGUUUUCCGUAGCUUCGGCUGCGGUGACUGGUGUUGUAACUUUGAUUAAAUCAAUGUGAUUAAAACAGGCGUUUGCUUGAAUGCUUUAUCAUGGAAUAAUAGAAUAUGACUUCGGUCCAUUCUGUUGGUCUUGGGAUUGAAGUAAUGAUUAAAAGGAACAACUCGGGGGCAUCCGUAUCGCUGCGUGAGAGGUGAAAUUCUUGGACCGCAGCGAGACGAC